RNAcentral lists this transfer RNA (65 nucleotides) under Procecidochares utilis. Its description in RNAcentral is "tRNA-Arg". The record is from RNAcentral. Lineage: Eukaryota; Metazoa; Arthropoda; Insecta; Diptera; Tephritidae.
GAAUUUGAAGCGAUUUAAUUGCAAUUAGUUUCGACCUAAUAUUAGGUAAAUUAUACCCUUAUUCU